CAGCCACACUGGAACUGAGACACGGUCCAGACUCCUACGGGAGGCAGCAGUGGGGAAUAUUGCACAAUGGGCGCAAGCCUGAUGCAGCCAUGCCGCGUGUAUGAAGAAGGCCUUCGGGUUGUAAAGUACUUUCAGCGGGGAGGAAGGCGGUGCGGUUAAUAACCGCGCCGAUUGACGUUACCCGCAGAAGAAGCACCGGCUAACUCCGUGCCAGCAGCCGCGGUAAUACGGAGGGUGCAAGCGUUAAUCGGAAUUACUGGGCGUAAAGCGCACGCAGGCGGUCUGUUAAGUCAGAUGUGAAAUCCCCGGGCUCAACCCGGGAACUGCAUUUGAAACUGGCAGGCUUGAGUCUUGUAGAGGGGGGUAGAAUUCCAGGUGUAGCGGUGAAAUGCGUAGAGAUCUGGAGGAAUACCGGUGGCGAAGGCGGCCCCCUGGACAAAGACUGACGCUCAGGUGCGAAAGCGUGGGGAGCAAA
This 475-nucleotide ribosomal RNA is filed under the name Erwinia sp. Its description in RNAcentral is "bacterial SSU rRNA". It matches the Rfam family "Bacterial small subunit ribosomal RNA", at positions 305 to 772 of the family's 1533-position model. The record is from RNAcentral. Lineage: Bacteria; Pseudomonadati; Pseudomonadota; Gammaproteobacteria; Enterobacterales; Erwiniaceae.